CCCCUCUCAGGAUCGCUUCUGGAGAGUUUCCAGGACUCUGUCAGUCUCAGCUAUGGGAGGGAGAGUCAAACAGAGGUUUACCCAUUCCAUUCCUAGCUUGGGCAAUGGCUAGCGACUGGAAGGCGAUCUGCUACAAGU
Small nucleolar RNA from Ornithorhynchus anatinus (platypus), 138 nucleotides. NCBI's taxonomy places the organism in Eukaryota, Metazoa, Chordata, Mammalia, Monotremata, Ornithorhynchidae. The record is from RefSeq and is a predicted model, not a curated record.